Molecule: ribosomal RNA, 362 nt
Filed under: Aptostichus atomarius
Lineage: Eukaryota; Metazoa; Arthropoda; Arachnida; Araneae; Euctenizidae
Description: partial 12S ribosomal RNA
Source: RNAcentral
UUCCAGUAAACUAACUAUGUUACGACUUACCUCCUCUUUAGAAGAGGGUGACGGGCGAUAUGUACACCUAAAUUCAAUUUCGUUCUUAAUUUUUAUUAAAAAACUACUUCCAAAUCCUCUUUCAAUUUUUCUUUAGAAUAAAAUCCUUUAAUUUAUUUAAUGAGUAAUUAGUUUUUGUCUUUACCAUAAUCUUCACCUUGACCUGACUUACGAAAAAAUGUUAGGGUAAAAUUUUUAUAUUUUGCCUUUAGACGGCGGUAUAAAAGAGUAGGGAUAAAGAGAAAAUAAGCGGGGAAAGUCGAGAUAAAACAAAUUCCUCUGGGUAGAAAAAAGGCCGCCAAAAAGUAUGGGUUUAAAGGAAU